CUGAAAUGCAUUUUUCAGUCCUUACUUCCCCAAGCAAUAAAAUGGAAGCUCUUAAAGGGUCCUUGAUCCCUUCACUUCAAAUCCCAUCAACACCAACCACACUCCACAAAACCCAAUUCUUGAAUUUUCAGUUCUGUCCAAUACCCAUUUCUCAAAUCAAUUCAAAGAAACACAUCAAGAUCAAAGCUUUUAUCAAGAUCAAAGCUUUUCGCCACAUCAUCAUCAUCUACAGCUUCAACAGAACCCAUAGACC
RNAcentral lists this unclassified non-coding RNA (253 nucleotides) under Hevea brasiliensis (rubber tree). The record is from RNAcentral. Lineage: Eukaryota; Viridiplantae; Streptophyta; Magnoliopsida; Malpighiales; Euphorbiaceae.